RNAcentral lists this ribosomal RNA (279 nucleotides) under uncultured bacterium. RNAcentral describes it as "partial 16S ribosomal RNA". It matches the Rfam family "Bacterial small subunit ribosomal RNA", at positions 506 to 784 of the family's 1533-position model. The record is from RNAcentral.
UGCCAGCAGCCGCGGUAAUACGGAGGGGGUUAGCGUUGUUCGGAAUUACUGGGCGUAAAGCGUACGUAGGCGGAUUAAUAAGUUAGAGGUGAAAUCCCAGGGCCCAACCCUGGAACUGCCUCAUAAACUCCUGGUCUUGAGUUCGAGAGAGGUGAGUGGAAUUGCGAGUGUAGAGGUGAAAUUCGUAGAUAUUCGCAGGAACACCAGUGGCGAAGGCGGCUCACUGGCUCGAUACUGACGCUGAGGUACGAAAGUGUGGGGAGCAAACAGGAUCAGAUA